UUUUUUUUUUUUUUUUCUCUCUCCUUUCCCCUCCCCUCCUCUCUCUCCGUCUCUCUCCCUCCCUCCUCUCCCUCCCUCCCUUCCCUUCCCUCCCUUCCCUCCCUCCCUUUCAUGCCACCCCUCGCAGCCGCCCAUUGUUGCUGCCGGGGCGCUGGCAGCCGGGGGGCAGUUUGUGGCACGGGCGGAGGAGCGGGAGAAGCCGCCGCCGCCGCCGGUUGCUAGGUAAGGACCGCCUUCCCCUCCUCUCCCCGGGCCUUGUGCGAGGGCCAGACGUGCCACCCCGGCUCCCUCAAGUGCCUUCUUGCCUGCCUUUUCCAGGAGACCCAGGAGCUGCAAGGUGAACGCCGACCACCGCCGCCGCUCCCCGCCCGCCGUGUGGUGUCCCCGCCGCCGUGUGGUGUCCCCGCCGCCGUGUGGUGUCCCCCCGCCGUGUGUCCCCCCCCGCCGCCGCCACGGCCUGAGCGGUUUGAAUUUUGCUGUGCCGUAUCUCUGGAAACAAAGGAUCUCAUCCAAAGGCCUCUGAAGGCCAUGGGGGUUUUUCCAUCAACUUCAAAUGGGAUUUGGAUUAAGCCUAUAUACAUAAUAGUCUGCAAUAAUGAUCUGACUGCUAUAGUGGGUUUCAGGGUCUUCCACAAAACUUUUCAAAACUCAUAAAAAUUAUCCAGUCAUGAUACUCCAAAAUAAGCACUGAAUACUCCUAAGCAUUGAUCAGGUUUUGUUGUUCUGGUUUGGAAAAAAAGCAGGGGGCAUUCUCACCGAUGCUCCAAAUGAAAGUUUUAUGAAUAAAAAGAAAGAGUGAAUGUUGGUUCCA
RNAcentral lists this long non-coding RNA (811 nucleotides) under Calidris pugnax (ruff). Its description in RNAcentral is "lncRNA (ENSCPUG00000003423.1)". The record is from RNAcentral. Lineage: Eukaryota; Metazoa; Chordata; Aves; Charadriiformes; Scolopacidae.